ACAUUUAAAAACAAAAAAACCUACCGCGCACAAUAAUGAUGAGCCGGGCCCAAAUCAAAUCAUAACAAGGCCCCAGUCAACCCAACCUUACUCGGAAAUUGUUGGGGGUCUUUUUAGCUUCUGAAACCCCAAGCCCUUGCUUGCCGAAGGUAAAAUUGCAGCCGAAUAGCAUCAUCAUCUCAUCUAACACCACAGACCAGCGCCGGAGUUUCCCUGCAGAAGCUAGCUCAGGUGUUGCUAGCGGCUCAGCUCUUCAGUUUUUCGGCAAGAAGCAUUAUGAAGCUGGCAACCUGCUUGUCCUGUGAUGCAAACGAACCCUGUUUUGGACAAGCACCUGCCAUAAUUCUGUGAUCGUUAUUAGCAGAUGCUUACAUUCACCGAUCAUGAGUGCAUCUUUGUCCAAUUGAAGUAUUUUUGUGUGAAAUUUUCCUUAUUUGCGCUUAUUUGAAAAUAAUGCAAGAUAGACUUGAAGAAAUACUGCUCUUGUUUUCUUGUUUUCAGAAUGAGAUGUUUUAGGGAACAGAUUUGAUAUUUGAAUUCUUUUAUUCAGUAUUUCCUGCCCCAAGCAAUAUUCAAGAGGAUGCAGAUGACCAUAUGUAUGCCAUUUCUUAGUUGCUUCCCAGCUGCUUGCAUACGAGUCUUGCAUUGUGCUAGUGAAUGUGAUAUGAACAUGCUGUCUUAAGAUUGCUCUAUUUCGCAUAUGUUUUUUUUUUUCUUUGCCAAAUUCAUAUGGACACUCCCUGCACUAUAAGUUAUCUUGAAAAAGACACUCGUUUUUUCCAACAAUUUGUUGUGAAUGUUGAGACACUCUUGUGAAAGCAUAAUUGCAGUAUAGUUCAAAUUUAAAAGGUAUUUACUUCAAAUUUAAUGAGUAUUUUAGGUCAUUUGCGGCCACCCCUUGUGUGAGGUUAAUGCAUAGUGACAAUGAUUAGUGAUGAAAGCAGAAGGAGAGAAAGAAAGUGACUUUUAUUGAUUCCCUGCAAAGCUGCAAAGUCAGCUGUAUUACUACCAUUGACUGCAGUACUGAGUACAUUAAGGUAGUGACUUAGAGUUCUUAAGUUUGAUAUUCUGGGCACCUUUGGUUUUAGUUCUAUAAUACCUUAGUUUAUGCUUUCUGGUAAGUUGCGAUGCCUAGGUGAUGAUUACUAGUCAGUUAGAUCCCAUAGUUUGAAUUCUCCGAUUUUGAUCACGAUUCAGGUCUUUUUGGCUCUUGGUGAGAAUACCCCGAGUAACGAAAAAUGGGUUAGAGGCAAGAUUUCCCGUGAAAACAGAAUAUGCUAAUGGCCACUGCUGAUUUUACCUGAAACUGUGGGCAGUGAAGGAGUGAAGAUACAAAUUCAACCUCGCCUCUGCAUAAUGUGGUUUUACCCUUCGUUUUGAUUAAUAGGCUGGUCGGUGGCAUUUUUUUGUUUGGAGGUUAAACAUUUUAAUAAAGAUCCCAGAUGACAUGGCUUGUCUCCUCUCUUUGAAUCCAGAAGUUUCGAAUGAUUUGAUUGGAGGAAGCAUCACAUAAUCUUGUCUGUGUGCUCAGAUAACCCUAAAGAAUUGUAAGAAAAUCAUAUCUCGUGAUCCGAUGUUGCUGAUAAGUGAUGAGAAGUAAAACAAAACCAAGAAGUGACUGCAUGGGCCCAGACAUUUGCUUCCAUGAGGAUGUCCAUUGUCCCCGUAGAACAUCAAGCCAACCAUGGGCAACAUGGGCCAGUUUUCGAGUAUUUUACAAGGCAAGACCUUUACAUUUUUGCUCACUAUAUUUUAAGCAUCAAUCUCCCAGAGCAAAGCUUCCCAUUUGUACAGGGAGGAACUAAAAGUAGUUAAUAAAGAGCCCAGUUCAUGACCAGGACUCCAUGCAGAAAUGCAACCACUUGAGCAACAAGGUUUACUCAAGAGAGGUUGAUAAAACGACACAUGAUAGGUUCAACAGGGUGCAAAAUAUUUAUUAAAUACUCGAGGGUUGAUUUGGUGAGCCGGCAGUACUAAGAAGUGAUCGAGGGUAGUUACAAGCUUGAAGAAGAGAAACAUUAGUGAUAACUAGGGAGAUUACUACAACGAAAUACCCAUGACACAUUGUUGGCUCCAGCUCUUACAAUAAAUUUGACGACCAGUGGAUUAUUCCAUGAGCUAACCAAAUCUUCUGAUCUUUGUGAGCCUUCAGAGAUUUUUUUUAAUUUUUUUUUUAUGUUUUCGAUAGUUAAAAAUAAAUUUUAAAAAAUAAAAAAAAUAUUAUUUUAAUUUAUUUAUAAACAAAAAUUACUUUUAAAAGCAGCUAUUAUUAUAUUCUUAAAUCCCCAUAAUGAAAUAUCAUGAAUUGAACAUGGAUUUUCAACACCCAUUAUAAGAAAUGGUCAAAUUUAGCCAUUCAUUUUUAUUAUGAUUGCAUUAUUAGAGAAUAAUAUAAAUCAUAUAUUAGAUCUUAUCUAAUAAUUUGAGUUUUUGGGUUGAAUUGAUUCUUUUAACAUGGUAUCAGAGCCUUGAUGACCAAGUAGUUACGAGUUCGAGUCUUACCAUUCUCAUUUAUUUGAUAAAAGUUAAGCACAUAGUAGUGUAAGUUUGUGUAAGUUUCAAGCCCAAAAAUCUAUCACUUGAGAAGAAAUGUUAGAAAAUAAUAUAAAUUAUAUUUUAAAAUUUUACCUAACAACUUAAAUUAUUGGAUUGAAUUGUUUAUUUUACCUGCUUUAUCUCACCACUAACUAAUCUUACUUAACUAGUAAUCAUUAUUGAUGUGUAUGAACUUGAUUUGAAAAAAAAUCAACAAAUAAUUAAUUUUAAAGCACUUUAAUGGAAGACAACUGAAUCGACAAGUGACUUUCCUCGCAACAACUCAAGUAGUUAGUCUUUAGUUGGAUCAAUACUAAACAAGAAUCAAAGGAGAAAACUUGCGACAUAAUCAUGGGUUCGACUCCUAAAGAAAAAGUAAAAAAUUGAUUGCCCGAUGGCUUGCAUGAGCAGUUAGGUGCAGGUUCUUUAUUAGUGGAGGUAGAUGCAUGGGCCUCGCAAACUUUCAGUUACUUCAACGGCAGAUUCAAGCCACUUAAUGUCCCUUUUCUGUUCUGUCCACCGAUGCAAGUUCCGAUGAGUUGGUGACAUCUGUGAAGAUCCCUGCACAGAGCACACUGGUGUCUGAAAUGCGAGAUCAGAAAGUAGAAGGGGAGGAUGUAGAAUAGCCUUCAGAGAAUUCGAUACAAGAAAGCAAAGAUAUGAUCAAUGCUGUGUGAAUCCUGUUGUUGAGAUUUCCCUUUCCAGGGACAGAUGGAAUUAAUGAACAUUGAACACUCCUUUUCUCCACCACAAGAAAGAAAUAUAUCUCCAGAAAAGUUAAAAAUUAAGUGGUAGCUUGUAGAUGAAUAAAGAACUAAAGAACAUUGAUCCCAUCAUAGAAAUAGAGAGAAACACUUUUUUCUAAUUGUUUGUAAGAGUGAGUUUUUACUGUAUAGUAAAUUAAAUGAAAAUUAUGAA
RNA transcript from Populus trichocarpa (black cottonwood), 3453 nucleotides. It is a transcript of the gene named pentatricopeptide repeat-containing protein At3g04130, mitochondrial, with no coding region annotated. The transcript is spliced from 3 exons. The record is from RefSeq and is a predicted model, not a curated record. NCBI's taxonomy places the organism in Eukaryota, Viridiplantae, Streptophyta, Magnoliopsida, Malpighiales, Salicaceae.